Molecule: ribosomal RNA, 467 nt
Filed under: uncultured bacterium
Lineage: Bacteria
Description: partial 16S ribosomal RNA
Rfam family: Bacterial small subunit ribosomal RNA
Source: RNAcentral
GACGAACGCUGGCGGCGUGCUUAACACAUGCAAGUCGAACGGAAAGGCCUCUUUCGGGGGGUACUCGAGUGGCGAACGGGUGAGUAACACGUGAGUAACCUGCCCUUGACUUUGGGAUAACUUCAGGCAACUGGGGCUAAUACCGGAUAGGAGCUACUGCUGCAUGGUGGGGGCUGGAAAGUUUCGGCGGUUGGGGAUGGACUCGCGGCUUAUCAGCUUGUUGGUGGGGUAGUGGCUUACCAAGGCGUUGACGGGUAGCCGGCCUGAGAGGGUGACCGGCGACAUUGGGACUGAGAGACGGCCCAGACUCCGACGGGAGGCAGCAGGGGGGAAGAUUGCACAAGGGGUGGAAGCCUGAUGCAGCAACGCCGCGGGCGGGAGGACGGCCUUCGGGUUGAAAACCGCUUUCGCUCAUGACGAAGCUUUGUGUGACGGUAGUGGGUAAAGAAGCACCGGCUAACUACGUG